Molecule: non-coding RNA, 624 nt
Organism: Pelodiscus sinensis (Chinese soft-shelled turtle)
Lineage: Eukaryota; Metazoa; Chordata; Testudines; Trionychidae
Source: RefSeq, a predicted model, not a curated record
CAGUUUCUACCAGAUAUCGAGGGAGAUGGGAGACGGGCUCUCCCAAGAACGGACUCCCUGAAAUGUGAGCCAAAACUGCUGGCUGCUUCUGGGACCUAGUGAAGAACUGGCCAGGAAAGGUGUGGACUAUUCUGCCUAGCCUCGCUGUGUCGCUGACCAGAGCUUCCUAAGAUCAUUGGCAAAGAGAUAAAAAGAUCCUUGGAAAUAUAUCUACAUCCUCCUUUUUCUCUUAAUACCUUCCCUUCAAUGUGCAGUCCUCUUCUUUAGUGUUUCUGGACAUCUAUUACCCUCCCAAUAACACCUCAUUCACAAUAAAAGUGCUCAGGGAAGAAGCAAAAUAAAACCUUUGGAGGACAAAGUGGUGAUGGUUGUGUGGCAAUGCCCUGAACAAGAAUAACAGUUCUGGAAAAAAAAUGGGAAAGAAUUAAACUCACUCCGCAUGGUGAAGCAUCAUGGAUGAAUUGCAAUGGUAUCAAGACAUCAAAGCGUAUAACCAUUUCAACUGUUGUAAACAGGUUAUUUAAAUACACACUAACACUGUUUAGUCCAUUUUCCUGUUCUAGUUCUUAUUUAUUUAAUUUAUUUAUUUAAAUAUUUUACCCUGCCUUUCUAUUAAAAAUAUUC